GACGAGGGGUCCUAGCGUUGUUCGGAAUCACUGGGCGUAAAGCGUAUGUAGGCGGCUUUUCAAGUCAGGUGUGAAAUCCCAUGGCUUAACCAUGGAACUGCAUUUGAAACUGUAAAGCUUGAGUAUUGGAGAGGAUGGUAGAAUUCCUGGUGUAGUGGUGAAAUACGUAGAUAUCAGGAGGAAUACCGGUGGCGAAGGCGGCCAUCUGGCCAAAAUACUGACGCUGAGAUACGAAAGUGUGGGGAUCAAACAGG
Molecule: ribosomal RNA, 254 nt
Filed under: uncultured bacterium
Lineage: Bacteria
Description: partial 16S ribosomal RNA
Rfam family: Bacterial small subunit ribosomal RNA
Source: RNAcentral